Molecule: ribosomal RNA, 500 nt
Filed under: uncultured bacterium
Lineage: Bacteria
Description: bacterial SSU rRNA
Rfam family: Bacterial small subunit ribosomal RNA
Source: RNAcentral
GAUGAACGCUAGCGGCAGGCUUAAUACAUGCAAGUCGUGGGGCAGCAGGUUUGUAGCAAUACAGAUGCUGGCGACCGGCAAACGGGUGCGGAACACGUACAGAACCUUCCUUUGAGCGGGGAAUAGCCCAGAGAAAUUUGGAUUAAUACUCCAUAGUAUAAUGAAGUGGCAUCACUUUAUUAUUAAGAUUUAUCACUCGAAGAUGGCUGUGCGGCUGAUUAGGUAGUUGGCGGGGUAAAGGCCCACCAAGCCUGCGAUCAGUAACUGGUGUGAGAGCACGACCAGUCACACGGGCACUGAGACACGGGCCCGACUCCUACGGGAGGCAGCAGUAAGGAAUAUUGGUCAAUGGAGGCAACUCUGAACCAGCCAUGCCGCGUGGAGGAUGAAGGUCCUCUGGAUUGUAAACUUCUUUUAUAUGGGGCGAAAAAAAGGGCUUUUUCUAAGUCGUCUGACGGUACCAUAUGAAUAAGCACCGGCUAACUCCGUGCCAGCAGCCG